This 548-nucleotide ribosomal RNA is filed under the name Amanita verna (spring destroying angel). RNAcentral's name for it is "partial large subunit ribosomal RNA". It matches the Rfam family "Eukaryotic large subunit ribosomal RNA", at positions 1 to 545 of the family's 3401-position model. Lineage: Eukaryota; Fungi; Basidiomycota; Agaricomycetes; Agaricales; Amanitaceae. The record is from RNAcentral.
GACCUCAAAUCAGGUAGGACUACCCGCUGAACUUAAGCAUAUCAAUAAGCGGAGGAAAAGAAACUAACAAGGAUUCCCCUAGUAACUGCGAGUGAAGCGGGAAAAGCUCAAAUUUAAAAUCUGGCAGAUGUUUGUCUGUCCGAGUUGUAACCUAGAGAAGUGUAACCUGUGCUGGACCGUGUACAAGUCUCUUGGACAUAGAGCAUCAUAGAGGGUGGGAAUCCCGUCUUUGACAUGGACUACCAGUGCAUUGUGGUUGCGCACUCAACGAGUCGAGUUGUUUGGGAAUGCAGCUCUAAAUGGGUGGUAAAUUCCAUCUAAAGCUAAAUAUUGGCGAGAGACCGAUAGCGAACAAGUACCGUGAGGGAAAGAUGAAAAGAACUUUGGAAAGAGAGUUAAACAGUAUGUGAAAUUGUUGAAAGGGAAACGCUUGAAGUCAGCUGCAUUGGCUGGGAAUCAAGCCAGCUUAUUUGCUGGGUGUACUUCCUGGUUGAUGGGCCAACAUCAGUUUUGACCAUCAGAGAAAGGCUAAGGGAAUGUGGCACCUU